This 373-nucleotide ribosomal RNA is filed under the name uncultured organism. RNAcentral's name for it is "bacterial SSU rRNA". It matches the Rfam family "Bacterial small subunit ribosomal RNA", at positions 526 to 896 of the family's 1533-position model. The record is from RNAcentral.
CGUAGGGGGCUAGCGUUGUCCGGAUUUAUUGGGCGUAAAGAGCGUGUAGGCGGCCAAGUAAGUCCGGUGUGAAAACUCGAGGCUUAACCUCGAGAUGUCAUCGGAAACUAUUUGGCUAGAGUCCGGAAGAGGAGAGUGGAAUUUCCUGGUGUAGCGGUGAAAUGCGCAGAUAUCAGGAAGAACACCUAUGGCGAAAGCAGCUCUCUGGGACGGUACUGACGCUGAGACGCGAAAGCGUGGGGAGCGAACAGGAUUAGAUACCCUGGUAGUCCACGCCGUAAACGAUGGGUGCUAGGUGUGGGCGGUGUCGACUCCGUCCGUGCCGAAGCUAACGCAUUAAGCACCCCGCCUGGGGAGUACGGCCGCAAGGCUA